CCUAGGGCGGCAGCAGUGGGGAAUAUUGGACAAUGGGCGAAAGCCUGAUCCAGCCAUGCCGCGUGUGUGAAGAAGGCCUUCGGGUUGUAAAGCACUUUCAGUGGGGAAGAAAGCCUUGGGGCUAAUACCCUCGAGGAAGGACAUCACCCACAGAAGAAGCACCGGCUAACUCCGUGCCAGCAGCCGCGGUAAUACGGAGGGUGCGAGCGUUAAUCGGAAUUACUGGGCGUAAAGCGCGCGUAGGCGGUCUGAUAAGCCGGUUGUGAAAGCCCCGGGCUCAACCUGGGAACGGCAUCCGGAACUGUCAGGCUAGAGUGCAGGAGAGGAAGGUAGAAUUCCCGGUGUAGCAGUGAAAUGCGUAGAGAUCGGGAGGAAUACCAGUGGCGAAGGCGGCCUUCUGGACUGACACUGACGCUGAGGUGCGAAAGCGUGGGUAGCAAACAGGAUUAGAUACCCUUGUAGUC
Molecule: ribosomal RNA, 464 nt
Filed under: Vreelandella stevensii
Lineage: Bacteria; Pseudomonadati; Pseudomonadota; Gammaproteobacteria; Oceanospirillales; Halomonadaceae
Description: partial 16S ribosomal RNA
Rfam family: Bacterial small subunit ribosomal RNA
Source: RNAcentral